UGGGGAAUUUUGGACAAUGGGCGAAAGCCUGAUCCAGCAAUGCCGCGUGUGUGAAGAAGGCCUUCGGGUUGUAAAGCACUUUUGUCCGGAAAGAAAUCCUUGGCUCUAAUACAGUCGGGGGAUGACGGUACCGGGAGAAUAAGCACCGGCUAACUACGUGCCAGCAGCCGCGGUAAUACGUAGGGUGCAAGCGUUAAUCGGAAUUACUGGGCGUAAAGCGUGCGCAGGCGGUUUGCUAAGACCGAUGUGAAAUCCCCGGGCUCAACCUGGGAACUGCAUUGGUGACUGGCAGGCUAGAGUAUGGCAGAGGGGGGUAGAAUUCCACGUGUAGCAGUGAAAUGCGUAGAGAUGUGGAGGAAUACCGAUGGCGAAGGCAGCCCCCUGGGCCAAUACUGACGCUCAUGCACGAAAGCGUGGGGGAGCAAACAGGAUUAGAUACCCUGGUAGUCCACGCCCUAAACGAUGUCAACUAGUUGUUGGGGAUUCAUUUCCUUAGUAACGUAGCUAACGCGUGAAGUUGACCGCCUGGGGAGUACGGUCGCAAGAUUAAAACUCAAAUGAAUUGACGGGGUCAUAGCUGUUUCCU
Molecule: ribosomal RNA, 586 nt
Filed under: uncultured bacterium
Lineage: Bacteria
Description: partial 16S ribosomal RNA
Rfam family: Bacterial small subunit ribosomal RNA
Source: RNAcentral